This 214-nucleotide ribosomal RNA is filed under the name Coronophorales sp. RNAcentral describes it as "partial large subunit ribosomal RNA". Lineage: Eukaryota; Fungi; Ascomycota; Sordariomycetes; Coronophorales. The record is from RNAcentral.
AAGCGCCCGUGGUUAGACUCGCGCCCUGCGGAUCAACCGGCUCUCCGCCGGUGCACUCUGUAGGGCUCGGGCCAGCGUCGGCUUGCGCUGGGGCUUAAAGACGGUGGGAACGUAGUUCGCCCUUCGGGGUGAGCGUUAUAGCCCGUCGUGUAACGCCCUGGUGCAGGCCGAGGUUCGCGCUCCGCAAGGACGCUGGCGUAAUGACCACUGGCGG